Molecule: ribosomal RNA, 265 nt
Filed under: uncultured bacterium
Lineage: Bacteria
Description: partial 16S ribosomal RNA
Rfam family: Bacterial small subunit ribosomal RNA
Source: RNAcentral
UACGUAGGGUGCGAGCGUUAAUCGGAAUUACUGGGCGUAAAGCGUGCGCAGGCGGUUGUGUAAGACAGAUGUGAAAUCCCCGGGCUCAACCUGGGAACUGCAUCUGUGACUGCACGGCUUGAGUGCGGCAGAGGGGGAUGGAAUUCCGCGUGUAGCAGUGAAAUGCGUAGAUAUGCGGAGGAACACCGAUGGCGAAGGCAAUCCCCUGGGCCUGCACUGACGCUCAUGCACGAAAGCGUGGGGAGCAAACAGGAUUAGAAACCCC